UCCCCCAAAAAGUAAAGAAGUCAAGAAUUUUGCCACAAAUUGUAUCUACAUGCUCAUUAUUUAUUUGUCCAUCAAAAUUCGCUACAUGCUCAUUAUUUACCUAAAACAUUAAAUUGACAGCUCCAAUAUCUACAUGCUCAUUAUGUACUUGUCCAUCAAAAUUCUGUGCAUGCUCAUUAUUCACCUAAAACAUUAAAUUGACAGUACCAAUAUAAAUAUAGUAUCCUGUCACCACCACUAUUGAGAAAAUUUAGCUGAGAUCUAAACUUACCCUAUGAGAAAACAAACCACCAUAAGCAUGAAAACAACAUUCAGUUAUAAAGUGCAGUAACCAUCUGUCCAGGAUAAUAGAACCAUGCCCUCACAUCUCAACUGAAAUUUGAAUUCAAAACUAAGUAAAGUUCUGCUCCAAAUUCAAUUUCAAAGCAUAAAAUGCAUGCUCCCAGAAGCAACCCAAGUAGAUAUAAAAGAAGAAAUCAUAGCACAGCUAGACAUAUAAAAGCUCUGGUUUACUUUCAAUAAUUUAGCCAAAAAUAAAACAAAUAAAAAUACCUGAUACAGUUACUUUAGCAAACCCAUAACGAACAAAGUUAGCAAAUUAGUGCUCCAUACAAACCUGCAUACCUGUUAUCAAAAAGAAAACUUGCACAUUCUAGAAAUUGCAUUAAUCAUGUACCCAAGAAAGCUCUGAAUGCCUGAUCAACCAUAACAAACAGCAUCCAAAUGUACCCGAAAAAAUGAUUUUACAACAAUCAAUUUUUCAAUUAUCUACCAAAAAAUAUUAUCACUUAUAAUAAACUAUGUUCUUAAAAAUACAUAUAACAACAUUUUUCUUGUAGAUCUGUCAAGCUCUACCAUGUCUUCGGUACAUAAACUUUUGGAAAUAAAGACUAUCCAUCGGCAACGUCCACAGCCAACAAAUAUUGUUUGUAACAAAAAUCUGUUAUUUAUAAGAGAAAGCAAAAUGUUAGUACUAUCGCAAGAAAGAAACAAUUGACACGUGAUUACUUUAAUACGAUUUAAGAAUUAUAAAAUACAAAUAACCGUGUUAACUUUUCUCCAUCUUCGACUAGUUCUUGAAUGAACACGUUUCUAUUCAAUAGCUUUAUCAUCCCAAGACUGCAAAAAUUGAAAUGAAUCGUUUGGUUAUAUCAACAGAUCAAAUCAACAACUUGGAAAUUGACAACAAAAUAUAUUGAAAAGGAUAUAUGUACAAAUUGUUUGAGUCAUGUGCAAGUAAAACUGAAAUAUAAGUUAUAUAUCCAAUAAGAAUUCUACACAUCUGGAGAAAUUAAUAAUAAGCAUAUUAUAGCUCAGCCAACAUAGAGAAGCUUACUAUGUUAACUGUGAUGAUCAAGCUUCUCAAAUUUGUUCUUCACACACACACACACACACAUAUAUAUAUAUAUAUAUAUAUAUAUUCGUAUGUGUGUGUUUCUGAACCCUACCUUUGCCCUAGUACUUUACAGACCCGAUAUGCCAACUAAAUUUACCACAUUUAUAUAGGAAUCUUUCAAGUGAUUUCUUUCCUAUCUAUAAUUGAUUCUGUAACACUUACACAGAGAAACCAUUGAAAGGAUAAAACCAAAAUUUUUGUGAUCUUUAUUUACUUGUCUGUACUUUGAAUGACAUUCUAGUUGCACCAAAACUUACACAAUUCUAACUUCUGAAAUAUAAUCUUUGAUGCCUAUACAAUCUGAACAUUAUGAUAGACAUCUUCCUAAACAUAUAAGGCCCUGUUACACCUGCUCAGAAGCUUAGAAUCUAAAAAAAUUAUUUUUCAAUUUCUGAGAACCAACGUGGCCACCCUGGUUUUGCCUUUCGACAACAGACCAAGACACUCUGUUUUUUUGCAUAUUUCGGAUUUCCAACACCAACACUUGGUAUCAUGAAUUAUUAUCACCAUAUUAUCAAUUCAGAACUCUUAGAAACAACUCUACUUCAAUUCUUAACAUACAUAUGAUAUGUAUCUUCUAAGUUCCAAAGGUUUAGAUAGUAAACUUCUUUCAAACAUUAUAUCACAUAUUUGGUGGGCAAAAAUUUAUAAGUUUAGUUUUAUAGAGCUUUUAAUAUACUAUAAUCCCAAAUUUUAUAUUCAUUCUCUGAGCAUCUAACAACCAAUUCAAUCAACACAAAAUUAAUACAAAGAAUUUUUCAAUCAAUCGUACCAUCUAAUACUCAUAGCCAUAUACCCCUUUCAUGUAUAACCUUUAUCUAAUAAAAUCAUGACCAGAUGUAUUCCUUACCUCUUGAUUUAGGAUGAUUCCAAUUUCCUUUAACUUCCAACAUCUAUUCCUCAACAACUCAAAGGUUAAAUGAAGGAAAUUGAAAGUGUAGUGUAUCAAGAGUUAGGCUAACUGAAGGAAAUUGAAACUGAAAGUUUGGUGUAUCAAGCUUGCUCCUUACAUUAUAGCUCUGUUGAAUCCUUGGGGUCAUAAUAAUAUGCCAACUCUUGCUAGGUGUGCUUGAAGAAUUCUCAGCAUCCCAACUCAUGCUUAUUAGAUUGAUGACUCAAUUCGUUUAGCUUGGACAUAUAUAAUCUCAAUUCAGUCAGUAUUAAUAAGUUAUGGAGUGCAAAGAGAAAGUUAGAUUUCCUUUCACAUGAAACUCCUAACUCCUAUAUUCACCAUGUUCUCAUACUUUGUCUCCUACAAAGAUCAUUUGUUGUCUCCUACGGGUGCUUUAAGAAAACUCUCAAAACUACAACGAUGCCACAACUUAUUCAAGCAUCAGUCUCAACUACUUAUAAAGUUAAAAAAAUAAAAUUGUUAUGUACAUUUAUAACAAUUAGAAAAUAUUCAACUAUUCCAUCCAAAAUAUAUGCACAGACCUAACUACUCCAAUAUCUUUCUGCAAAAAUAUUUAGGCUAUAUUAAAUACCUUUUAUUCCAAAUAACAUAUCGCAUAAAUUUCUUAAUAAAAGAAUCAUAAUUAGCACUCAUAAACCCAACAGUAAAACCCUUCAAAAUAACCAAACAAAAAGUACAGGACUUGAGCACAACACAUAUAUAAAGACGAUAUUUGUUGUGGACUUGUCAGUUAAUUAAUAACUUUUAUCAGUUAAUUCAAAACAAAUCAAAACUUUUGUCAGUUAAUUAAUAACUUUUAUCGACAAACUAAAUAUUUAAUUAAGAAAAGUGAAGGUAACUUCUACUAAAGCAAAUGAUAUCAUAAUUGUUUCACAUCUUGCUUAUAUAUCCAGGUGCAAAAUUUAUUCUACUUUUUUUUUGGUAAAGAGGGCUUAUUUAAUGAAAGUGACUUGAAGUAUCUUCGUGGGUUUAUUUAAUUCGAAAUGUUGAAUAAUUAAUUUCAUUUUAAGUUUUAGAAUUGAUUGGAUUUAUUUCAAAGUUUACUCUUUUGUGUUAGCAGAGGUGAUUGUAAUAUGCAUAUAUUGAAACGCAUACAUUUGAGUGUUGUAGUAGUAGUUAGUGACAUUGAUUGUUUUUUGGGAUUCGAUUAAAGGAUAUUUUUUUAUUAUAAAAAAGUUGUAGAAUGGAAAUUAUUUUCAUAUACUCCAUAUGAAAUUUGUGAGAUUAUAACAGAUAUAAGAGAGUUUACCUCAAGUUUAAUAACUUAUAAUUAUAUCCUUCAUCUGCCUUACUCCCUCAUCUUUAGAACUCCAUUUCCUCCUAGUAAUUUACCUCAAGUUUAAUAAAUUAUAAUUAUAUCCUUCAUCUGUCUUACUCCCUCAUCUUUAGAAAUCCAUUUCCUCCUAGUAAAUACACAUACAUGUAAUAGUCCCCUAUGCCUGCUUAUCAAUAAUAUAGAACCUGUUCAAUUUUUCCCUCAAUUUGAAUAGAACCAUUUACAUACUAUGGCCUAUGGGGGGUUAUAUACUAUAGAAAGAUUUAAAUUUUAGUUAUUUGAUGUAGUCUAAUAAUAGGUGAGAUAAUUAUACAUAGUUAUUUGACGUUGUCUAAUAAAUUUUAGUUAUUCUUGGAAAGAUAAUGGUGCAAAUUUUAGUUAUUUGACGUUGUCUAAUGUUUACGUCGACUUUUUGAUUGAUUACGCGGAGAUGUGUAAUAACUGAGCUUCUUUUAUAAUUUCUACCAAUUACGUGGUAAGUUUUUAAAUUUAUGGUAAUACAUAAUAGUAGCAGGACUUUUUUAGAAUUGGUAUCCACGAACACAGAAUUUCAGAAGGUAUGGGGGUGUAUUUGUGUUUCAAGUGAAAUCAAAACUCAACUUCAUUCAAAAUGUUAACCAUGAAUUUCAGACCAUUAAAUCUUUGGUUUAAUUAAAAAAAGGUUAAAAUGUUACCAUUCAUUUUAGGCCAAAAAAAAUUAAGUACAUAUAGCUCAAAAUAUUUAACAAAUUAAUUCAUAAAAAACUAAAAUAUUGUUUUGGCACCACCAGGCACUGUAAUUAGAAACAAUUUUAAUACUUUUUCUAAAAUUGAAAUAAGUUAGUUAAAAAAAGUACAACAUACUAAUUUGUAAUCUACUUUAUUUAAUAAUGAUGAUAACAUUAAAAGUAUGAAACCAGUCAACAGUCGAAUACAAUUUAUAUCUAGCGUAACGAAGUCUAGAGAACCACUUCAAGCCAUGUGAUUUAUAAACUGUAAAGUAAAGUAAAAUUUCCAUUAAAAGAACCACGAUAACAAUAAACACAAAUAGAAAAUGCUAAAGAAAUCUACAAUUUGCACCGGUGCAAAGUCUAGAGAAAACAAAACCAUUAGGCUCAUUGACUACUAAUUAAAAUUAUUGAUUUUGGCCUCUCUUUCUCUUCCUCACCGUAUGCUACGAAUUUUGAAUCUAAUAGUAUUAGUGAAAAUUUCAAUCAAUGGUUAGAUUCCUCAGUACUCUUAAUCCCAACCAUUCGUCUAAUAAAAAUGUAUUUGAACACUUUUUAAUUUUUUUAAUUCCUUUUUCUAAUGUGAGUAUGGAAGAGUAGGGAGAAAAAAAGUCCAGAGGGGAGCUUAUCUCAAUUAUUAAACCAAUCGUGCGAUCAAACCAAUCAAAAUAAACCAAGAGUAUAAGUUUAGAAACCUUGACAAUUCAAUCCUAAAAAAUGAUAUAGGUACGUUACUUAAGUUUAAGAUACCUUAACUAAAAUAUGAUAAGUCAUAUAUGCAUUGAACUACUUACAAGUAGAAACAGAAUAACAACAUCUAGGAAAAAAAAAUAAAGAGAAAAAUUGAACAAAUACCUGUGGAUGAUUUUGAAAUUUCAUCAUUUAAAUUUGUGGUCAAUUAUACUGCUAAAGCAGAAGGUCCCACAAAAAAAGAACUGAAUGGAUUACAUUUUGUUAUUUGAUCCUAACAUGUCAAGAUAAAAGUACCUACCUAUUCCUAAAUAAAGACAUUAUUUCUUGAUCAUAGCCAGGAAUCAGCAAAAUCAGUGAUGAUGCAUUAAAUCAUAAUCGAUAAUAAAUUAGUUAAAUUCAAUCAUCAAAUUAUAGUAUAAAGCAACAAUCCCAUUAAUCCAAAUAAAACAAAAAAAUCCAAUGCACAUACCAUAAUAAAAAAAAGGAAAAGAAAAGAAAAAUAAUUGAAAAAUGGGGGAUAGUAUUAGUACCUCCUCUUACAAUAGCUCCACAAGUGCAGAAUUCAUUCAUAUCAAGGGUGAAAAGAGAUAGAUUCUAGGUUAUGAUUUGGAAAUGGAGAAAAGAGAUGAAUUAAAGAGAGAGUGACAUAGUGGUA
Molecule: long non-coding RNA, 5640 nt
Filed under: Panax ginseng (ginseng)
Lineage: Eukaryota; Viridiplantae; Streptophyta; Magnoliopsida; Apiales; Araliaceae
Description: long non-coding RNA (PGIN_LNC000591)
Source: RNAcentral